This 447-nucleotide ribosomal RNA is filed under the name uncultured bacterium. Its description in RNAcentral is "partial 16S ribosomal RNA". It matches the Rfam family "Bacterial small subunit ribosomal RNA", at positions 29 to 523 of the family's 1533-position model. The record is from RNAcentral.
AACGAACGCUGGCGGCAGGCCUAACACAUGCAAGUCGAGCGAACCGCAAGGUUAGCGGCGGACGGGUGAGUAACGCGUGGGAACGUGCCCUUUGCUACGGAAUAGCCCUGGGAAACUGGGAGUAAUACCGUAUGUGCCCUUUGGGGGAAAGAUUUAUCGGCAAAGGAUCGGCCCGCGUUGGAUUAGGGAGUCGGUGGGGUAAUGGCCUACCAAGCCGACGAUCCAUAGCUGGUUUGAGAGGAUGAUCAGCCACACUGGGACUGGGACACGGCCCAGACUCCUACGGGAGGCAGCAGUGGGGAAGCUUAGACAAUGGGGGAAACCCUGAUCUAGCCAUGCCGCGUGAGCGAUGAAGGCCUUAGGGUUGUAAAGCUCUUUCAGUGGGGAAGAUAACGACGGUACCCACAGAAGAAGCCCCGGCUAACUCCGUGCCAGCCGCCGCGGUAA